RNAcentral lists this ribosomal RNA (436 nucleotides) under uncultured bacterium. RNAcentral's name for it is "partial 16S ribosomal RNA". It matches the Rfam family "Bacterial small subunit ribosomal RNA", at positions 355 to 803 of the family's 1533-position model. The record is from RNAcentral.
UGGGGAAUAUUGCACAAUGGGCGAAAGCCUGAUGCAGCGACGCCGCGUGAGGGAUGACGGCCUUCGGGUUGUAAACCUCUUUCAGCAGGGAAGAAGCGAAAGUGACGGUACCUGCAGAAGAAGCGCCGGCUAACUACGUGCCAGCAGCCGCGGUAAUACGUAGGGCGCAAGCGUUGUCCGGAAUUAUUGGGCGUAAAGAGCUCGUAGGCGGUUAGUCGCGUCUGCUGUGAAAACUCGAGGCUCAACCUCGGGCUUGCAGUGGGUACGGGCUGACUAGAGUGCGGUAGGGGUGACUGGAAUUCCUGGUGUAGCGGUGGAAUGCGCAGAUAUCAGGAGGAACACCGAUGGCGAAGGCAGGUCACUGGGCCGCAACUGACGCUGAGGAGCGAAAGCAUGGGGAGCGAACAGGAUUAGAUACCCUGGUAGUCCAUGCCGU